GGGGGGACGGUUUUCCGGAAUUAUUGCGGCGUAAGCGCGCGCAGGCGGUUUCUUAAGUCUGAUGUGAAAGCCCACGGCUCAACCGUGGAGGGUCAUUGGAAACUGGGAGACUUGAGUGCAGAAGAGGAAAGUGGAAUUCCAUGUGUAGCGGUGAAAUGCGUAGAGAUAUGGAGGAACACCAGUGGCGAAGGCGACUUUCUGGUCUGUAACUGACACUGAGGCGCGAAAGCGUGGGGAGCAAACAGGAUUAGAUACCCUGGUAGUCCACGCCGUAAACGAUGAGUGCUAAGUGUUAGAGGGUUUCCGCCCUUUAGUGCUGAAGUUAACGCAUUAAGCACUCCGCCUGGGGAGUACGGCCGCAAGGCUGAAACUCAAAGGAAUUGACGGGGGCCCGCACAAGCGGUGGAGCAUGUGGUUUAAUUCGAAGCACGCGAAAACCUUACCGGUCUUGACAUCCUCUGAAACCCUAGAGAUGGGCUUCUCCUUCGGAGCACAGUGACCGUGGUGCUGGUUGUCCUCCCUCUUGUCUGAGAUGUUGGGUUAGUCCCGCACGAGCGCACCCUUGAUCUUAUUGCCUCAUUAAUUGGGCCUCUAAGUGACUGCCGUGACAACCGGAGGAAGUGGGGAGACAUCAAUCUCAUGCCCUUUGACCUGGCUCACCCUGCUCAAUGGACGGACAAAAGCUGCAGACCCGAGGGGACUAACUCUAAAACGUCUCAGUCGGAUGUAGCUGCACUCCCUCCUGAACUGGAUCCUAGUAUCCGGAUCACUGCCCGGGGAAACCUUCCCGGCUUUGCCCCCCCCCUCCACCCAGAGUUGUACCCCCAAUCCGGGGGUACCUUUUGAGCCGCCCCUAGGGGGCAAUGUUGGGGGAUCUCGGGGGCCCCCAAAAACCCCCACCCCCCCCCCC
Molecule: ribosomal RNA, 910 nt
Filed under: Bacillus thuringiensis
Lineage: Bacteria; Bacillati; Bacillota; Bacilli; Caryophanales; Bacillaceae
Description: bacterial SSU rRNA
Rfam family: Bacterial small subunit ribosomal RNA
Source: RNAcentral